Molecule: ribosomal RNA, 250 nt
Filed under: uncultured bacterium
Lineage: Bacteria
Description: partial 16S ribosomal RNA
Rfam family: Bacterial small subunit ribosomal RNA
Source: RNAcentral
UACAGAGGUCCCGAGCGUUGUUCGGAUUCACUGGGCGUAAAGGGUGCGUAGGUGGCAUGGCAAGUUUGAUGUGAAAGCUCAGGGCUUAACCCUGAAAUGGCAUUGAAUACUGCUGUGCUGGAGGUUUGGAGGGGGGACUGGAAUUCUUGGUGUAGCAGUGAAAUGCGUAGAUAUCAAGAGGAACACCAGUGGCGAAGGCGAGUCCCUGGACAACACCUGACACUGAGGCACGAAAGCUAGGGGAGCAAAC